This 215-nucleotide long non-coding RNA is filed under the name Lathyrus oleraceus (garden pea). RNAcentral's name for it is "Pisum sativum (pea) long non-coding RNA (PSAT_LNC026754)". Lineage: Eukaryota; Viridiplantae; Streptophyta; Magnoliopsida; Fabales; Fabaceae. The record is from RNAcentral.
UUAUUUAUCCCAAAAUAGGGAAAGGAAACGCUCAGAAAAACCUGGAAAAGACAUGGUCUCGCGACCAAGAGAAUGGGUUCGGGAGUCGGUUACGCGAGGGGAAGGUAUUAGCACCCCUCACGUCCUAGGUACUCCUAGGGAUCCACGCUUUAGAAAGAUAAGGUUGCUAUAAACAUACAUCACACACACACACGGGGAACGCAGGUGGGGUUAAG